CCUCCCUCGGGGGCGGGGAUAAGCGAGCCUAAAAUGGCGGCCAGCCGCUACCGGCGUUUCCUUAAGCUCUGUGAGGAAUGGCCAGUGGACGAGACCAAACGGGGCCGGGACUUGGGCACUUACCUGCGGCAGCGGGUAGCACAGGCCUUUCGGGAGGGAGAGAACACCCAGAUUGCAGAGCCAGAGGCCUGUGAUCAGAUGUACGAGAGCUUAGCACGACUCCAUUCGAACUAUUACAAACACAAGUACCCUCGCCCCAGAGACACGAGUUUCAGCGGCCUGUCUGUGGAAGAGUACAAGCUGGUCCUGGCCACAGGGCAAGAAAAGACCUGCAGCACCUUGUAAUAGGAGGGUUUGCGGCCUGGCGAGUCUGAAAUGUGGCCGCGGCCUGGGUUACACCUUGGAAGACUUUAAGGAUGUGAAUAAAGGCACGUGGAAGAAACUACAGGAGAAGGUUACCCCUGAAGUGUCCUGAAGAGAAGCAUAAGUUCUGGGCUCAGUCUUUUCUCGCCCACCUACAUAAGUGUGGACUCUUUCAUGUCACCAUCAUAAAUAAAACUGCCUUGAUUGCCCCUGACCUCCUGGUUUGGGAAUCUCAUCUGGCCUUCACAAAAAGGAAA
RNA transcript from Choloepus didactylus (southern two-toed sloth), 620 nucleotides. It is a transcript of the gene named ubiquinol-cytochrome-c reductase complex assembly factor 2, with no coding region annotated. The transcript is spliced from 5 exons. The record is from RefSeq and is a predicted model, not a curated record. Lineage: Eukaryota; Metazoa; Chordata; Mammalia; Pilosa; Megalonychidae.